RNAcentral lists this ribosomal RNA (375 nucleotides) under Zygosaccharomyces bailii. RNAcentral's name for it is "SSU rRNA". It matches the Rfam family "Eukaryotic small subunit ribosomal RNA", at positions 1281 to 1666 of the family's 1831-position model. The record is from RNAcentral. Lineage: Eukaryota; Fungi; Ascomycota; Saccharomycetes; Saccharomycetales; Saccharomycetaceae.
UGCAUGGCCGUUCUUAGUUGGUGGAGUGAUUUGUCUGCUUAAUUGCGAUAACGAACGAGACCUUAACCUACUAAAUAGUGGUGCUAGCAUUUGCUGGUUUUUCCACUUCUUAGAGGGACUAUCGGUUUCAAGCCGAUGGAAGUUUGAGGCAAUAACAGGUCUGUGAUGCCCUUAGACGUUCUGGGCCGCACGCGCGCUACACUGACGGAGCCAGCGAGUCUAACCUUGGCCGAGAGGUCUGGGUAAUCUUGUGAAACUCCGUCGUGCUGGGGAUAGAGCAUUGUAAUUAUUGCUCUUCAACGAGGAAUUCCUAGUAAGCGCAAGUCAUCAACUUGCGUUGAUUACGUCCCUGCCCUUUGUACACACAAGCCGAAU